Molecule: ribosomal RNA, 450 nt
Filed under: uncultured bacterium
Lineage: Bacteria
Description: partial 16S ribosomal RNA
Rfam family: Bacterial small subunit ribosomal RNA
Source: RNAcentral
GUCGAGAAUAAUUCACAAUGGACGAAAGUCUGAUGGUGCAACGCCGCGUGGAGGAUGACGGUCUUCGGAUUGUAAACUCCUGUCAUCCGGGAGUAAGACCUGGCUGUGAAUAGCAGACAGGGUUGAUAGUACCGGAAGAGGAAGGGACGGCUAACUUCGUGCCAGCAGCCGCGGUAAUACGAAGGUCCCGAGCGUUGUUCGGAAUCACUGGGCGUAAAGGGAGCGUAGGCGGCGUGGUAAGUCAGAUGUGAAAUCCCGGGGCUCAACCCCGGAACUGCAUCCGAUACUGCCGUGCUAGAGGAUUGGAGAGGUAGCUGGAAUUCUUGGUGUAGCAGUGAAAUGCGUGGAGAUCAAGAGGAACACUCGUGGCGAAAGCGAGCUACUGGACAAUAUCUGACGCUGAGGCUCGAAGGCCAGGGUAGCGAAAGGGAUUAGAUACCCCAGUAGUCC